UGGUCCUUGAACGAUAGUCUGCGAU
RNAcentral lists this non-coding RNA (25 nucleotides) under Drosophila melanogaster (fruit fly). Lineage: Eukaryota; Metazoa; Arthropoda; Insecta; Diptera; Drosophilidae. The record is from RNAcentral.